Panicum virgatum (switchgrass) is the source of this 1387-nucleotide long non-coding RNA. RefSeq lists it as uncharacterized. The transcript is spliced from 4 exons. The record is from RefSeq and is a predicted model, not a curated record. NCBI's taxonomy places the organism in Eukaryota, Viridiplantae, Streptophyta, Magnoliopsida, Poales, Poaceae.
GGUAGAUGAGACGGGACAGAUCGCGACGCACUUGGGGUUGGGGGGGGGGGGGGGGGCGCCGCCGCCAGCGCGCCUCCACGCUCCUCCGCCUCUUCGCGUGGCGCUUCCCUAGCGCCCUCUCGGCCGCUGGAAAUACCGCCACCCUUCAGCUCUUCUCACCACCGGUGCGCGCAGAGGCUUCAGCAGCUACUACUCCGCCGCAGCCGCUGCAAAGGCCACCUCGCUACCGGUGUAUUCCAUCGGUGUUGGGACUAUUCUCAGGGGAAGAGAUGGUUAAAUCGUGAACCAUGACUCCUUGACAGCUAUCAAACUUCAGAUGGCACUGUGACAAAAGUGUCCUAGCUGGAAGCAGAGUAUUUCAAAGCAGUGAUUGUGACCUGAGUAUCAUCCGUAACCCCAUCACCCUUGGCUCCAAAAUCGACCACGUUGAAGACUGUGUCCUGCUCUGCCGGUGGAGACGGCGGUGGAGGCGGCUGCAGCAGUGGUGGAGGUGGCACUGUACAUCCACUUCCACCGCCUGGUGUUGGCAUUGUUGGACCCUGGCCUCCUUUGCCAUGGACAGGGCUUCUGCUUGGGCUGACAGGGCUUGUGCUCGGACUUGGCUGGUAUGGAUUCUGAAUUCCUUUGCCGUUUUGCUUGUGGGAACUGCUGCUCUUUGGUUUCCCUUUUCUUAGCAUAGAGGUGGAGGUCGCUCUGCUUCGCCUCCAAUGCUUCCCGCUUCUCGCAUCGCAUAGACAAAUGCUGGAGCACAGAACAAGCAAGACAAGGAGAAGCAGGAAGAUAAGAGAUGAAGAAGGAAUGAUGAAAGGCAGGGGAUAGAGUAUGUGGCUUCGAGGAGGGAAAGAGGGGGUUUAAAUAACGAUGCCCAUGGCCAUCGUCUCUGCUUCAGCAAGGUCGAGUGAAAGAAGGAAAUGGCUAGGGACCAGCCCAAGCUCACGUGCAUUUGUGGGGAGCAUUAGCUCGUAACAUCACACAGAAUUUAAGGUGGCGUCUUUGUUUCUUUGUCACUUUUGUGCAUGAGCAUAUCACAGUAUUGUCCUCCUUUACGGUCGUCUUUUCGUGAGAAUUGGUUGGAGGAAUCAUCUUCAAGACAUUGGCUCUCGCCACUUGCCAGAGCCCAGGAAAAAACAGACAAGGCAGCUUACCUGUGCUCGUACUACUAAACUGCUGAUGGCUCACGGGUGAAGUGGCGUGUCUGCAUGUACUGGCCUGUUCGAAUUAUUUGCUCUUAAUCUGAUGUGUGACACGAUCUGUCAGGUGAUUAAACUGACUACUUGGUUCGUCUUGUAACGGCGUCCGCAGGCCAGUGCUGGAGCAUAAUGCGAGUUAGCAUGAGCUUGCUAAACUUUUUUUAUUAUUAAAUUACGGUAAUAUGAUGAACAGUGCA